Molecule: long non-coding RNA, 2441 nt
Filed under: Musa acuminata (dwarf banana)
Lineage: Eukaryota; Viridiplantae; Streptophyta; Magnoliopsida; Zingiberales; Musaceae
Description: long non-coding RNA (MACU_LNC011697)
Source: RNAcentral
UAGAUGCUAAUACAAAGAAAUUCCAACGAUUUAUGACCUCUCCUCAACCUUUAGGUGUUAAUGUUGGUGUGUUUGUCUUGAUGAAAUUUGGGACUCAAUUGCUGAUGGUUUCAGUUUGGUCAUUUCUCAGAUGAUGGCGAUUGCAAUAUGUGGAUAUGGAAUUAUGGGAUAGUGUCACUUGGUAGAAUGUCUUUUCUUUGAUUAUUAGCUCUUAUGUUGUCUAGAUUCAACUUCCAAUAGCAUUUUGUAGUGCUUGUGAUCAAGAUUUUAGUUAUGCUCACUGAUCCGAAGUUUUUGUUUAUGUUCACUUAUCCAAAUUGAGAGAUUUACAUGGGCUCUUGAAAUGUUGCUGAAGUCAAGUCUACAAUUUUGUGCCCGUUGGAACUAUAAAUUUUUAUGAUGUGUUGUUAGCAAGAAGUUCUUAUGCAUUUAUGAUGCAAUUAUUACUAUAGUUAAUAAGGUUUUAUAAUGUGGCAUUUUAUAUUGUUUGCUAUGCUUUAGCUAAAUUGACUUUACUCAACUCGAUACUCAAAGAACAUCCUUGUGUAAUUUUUACGGUCCUUUUUGCUUAUCAUGUUAUUACUUCUAAAAUAAUUAAUUUGUAAUUCUAUGAUGGUAAAUGUACAAUGUGAAAUAUUAAGUGUAAAUAAAAUCUCACUCAAAUUGAAAUGACUAGCAAAGCAAAUUAUAAAGGUAUCGUACAAAGCUAGUUGUUAAUUGGAAUUGGAACAUGUUUGGUCAGCAUUCAACUGAUAUCUCAAUAAAAGAUGCUUCUUAAUCAGGUUAAAACACAUGUACUUAUCCAUACAUUUUGAAGGUACACUCAAUCAGUUACGUUUUGAUAUGGUAAUUUGAAACUUUUAUUUUUAGUCUCCAUAGGUUAAGGCUGUGUGGAAUCACUAGAUUUGGGUAUAAAAGUAGAUGCAUAACUGAAUCAUGACACCUUUGGCUCAUAUCAUAUUCUUUUUUAUCACUAAAUAGGAAGCUAGCUACUUAGUUUUGAUGAACAUCUUCUAUUGUUUAUAAAGCAAAUUGUCAUGCCCUGUAAUUCUUUAUGUUGUUUUUCUUCUUUUAUUUUUUCAUGUAAUAUGGUAUCAAAACUUAAUUGCUGACCCAUAUGCUCGUCCCUCUUGGAUUUGUAUGCUAUGUUUGUAUGUAGUUGUUUUUGCUUUUCAUGUACUUUCCAACUUCCAUGAAUGAAUUGAAUAUUGGUACUAAUUCUAACGCAAUAUGAUGUGAUAUAACACAAAAAUACAAAAAUUGUUAGUUGAAAUCUUUAGGAAUGUACAAUAUAUUAAUUAAUGCUAGCAAAUGAUCGGAUUGAUGUUGUCAAAUUGACUCUGUUAGAACGUCAAUCCUUGUUGUCAAUAUAUCAUACCAACUCAGGCAGAACAUCAAUAACAUCAAUCCUUAUUGUCAAUAUACCUUGGUUACUUUAAUUAUGGCUAUCUAAAAUCGAAACAUGAAAAAAAUAUUGAGGAAAAUAAUUUGGAGUACAUAAAUUAAUUUUUAUGACUUUUAAACAUAAUACAGUUGUUUGAGGUAAAAUUUCAAAUUAAUUUGUUUUGUUUAAUGAAAUUUACCAUCAAAUUGGGAGUAUAACUAAAUUUCCUUUGUCAUGAGAAAAUUAAUAGAUAAUUUUAGAAAGAAAUAUUGAUAACAAUUAAGAAGAAGUUGACAAAAACAUAUAACACAAACAAAACAUAUAAAAUAUUUAAAAUAAUUAGGAAAAUAUGAUUUAAUUGAAAGCAAUUUGAAAAAUAUUUAAAUAAGAUUUAACACAAUAAAAACAUGGAAAAUUAAAAAUCUACUUAUGUUGAUAAAGAUGUUAGAGAAAUGUUUACAAAUUUAUGAAAAUUAAAAAUUUCACAAAAGUUGUCUUAGUCUAAGAAUAUAUUUUCCUCAAAUCUUGAAAGUCCAUAAUAGUUUAUCACACAAUCAAAAUCUUCAAGGGCAUUCCUAUAGACUGCACCUACUCGAUCCAAAACAUAAUUAUCUAAUAAGGGACAUGACGAGUGCCUACUGGGCCUCUACCUGAACUUCAUUAACUCAGACAAACAUAGUUCACUCGAUCAAGGAUCUCUGCUAAUUUCCUUGCCCUCAAACACCUAUUGCAUCAAUGAUAACAUAUUUUAUAAUUUAAAAGAUACAGUCAACAAAGAAAAAAUACUCUUAACAUGUCUCCUUAGUUUUGAUGUAAUGCAUUACUUAGCUUUUAAGAAAUGAACAUUUUGAUUUUUUUUAAAAUAGAUGUAAUUGAAAUAAAGUUUACAAAAGGUAGAAUAUGGUGAUUAGGAAUACUUGUUAAUUGGCUAAAAUAUGUUAAUUGUUGCCAUUUUGUGUGUCUUCAUUAAGAAUUAAUUAUAAAAAAUACAGUUAUCAUUUAAUAAAUAUAAGGCAUUGUUAGAGAUUACAUUUUAGAGGAAGGGAGAUGCAUAGUU